UGGGGAAUUUUGGACAAUGGGGGAAACCCUGAUCCAGCCAUCCCGCGUGUGCGAUGAAGGCCUUCGGGUUGUAAAGCACUUUUGGCAGGAAAGAAACGUCGCGGGUUAAUACCCCGCGGAACUGACGGUACCUGCAGAAUAAGCACCGGCUAACUACGUGCCAGCAGCCGCGGUAAUACGUAGGGUGCAAGCGUUAAUCGGAAUUACUGGGCGUAAAGCGUGCGCAGGCGGUUCGGAAAGAAAGAUGUGAAAUCCCAGAGCUUAACUUUGGAACUGCAUUUUUAACUACCGGGCUAGAGUGUGUCAGAGGGAGGUGGAAUUCCGCGUGUAGCAGUGAAAUGCGUAGAUAUGCGGAGGAACACCGAUGGCGAAGGCAGCCUCCUGGGAUAACACUGACGCUCAUGCACGAAAGCGUGGGGAGCAAACAGGAUUAGAUACCCUGGUAGUCCACGCCCUAAACGAUGUCAACUAGCUGUUUGGGUCUUCGGACCUUGGUAGCGCAGCUAACGCGUGAAGUUGACCGCCUGGGGAGUAC
Molecule: ribosomal RNA, 535 nt
Filed under: uncultured bacterium
Lineage: Bacteria
Description: partial 16S ribosomal RNA
Rfam family: Bacterial small subunit ribosomal RNA
Source: RNAcentral